RNAcentral lists this long non-coding RNA (564 nucleotides) under Brassica napus (rape). Its description in RNAcentral is "long non-coding RNA (BNAP_LNC026071)". Lineage: Eukaryota; Viridiplantae; Streptophyta; Magnoliopsida; Brassicales; Brassicaceae. The record is from RNAcentral.
UUUCUAUUUCUUAUACUUUCUAUUUACUUAAUAUCUAUAUUUUACAUUUUAAGAUAGAUGUUUAAAUCUUAAUAUAUUUUUGCCAUUUUCAAAAAUAUGUAUUUCCGAAUGAAGAGGUGAAAGACUUGCCCGGACAUUCCGUGCCCCUAGAAAUCCAUCAAAACCCGCUAAAUUGAUGUACCAACCUUGUCCUCAGAACUGUUCCUUAUCUUUUCAUGAACAAUCUAUGAAACACCAUCUUCCUGGUAUUGUUGGUACAAUUAUUUCAUGUAAUUGAUUUGCAACCCUCUAAUUAUUUGUUACAAGUGCCUUCGCCCAAAGUGUUGAUUCUAAUUCCGCUAGUUUAAGCGUAUAUCUUGGAUCAACAUCCAAAUUGAUAAAAACUUUGUUGUUUCGACAUUUCCAAAUAUACCAUAAUAUCCACGCAAAUUGGUGAUCCUCCAUUUUUGGAUUAACUCUUCAAAAAAGAUGAUCCAUAUUUUUAUGUCUUAUAGUCUAUAUUUACUAAUUAUUUAUUUUACUAUACAUUUUUCAGAUAGAUGUUUAAUUUAGUUUUUCCAGUUC